This 544-nucleotide ribosomal RNA is filed under the name Lodderomyces theae. RNAcentral's name for it is "eukaryotic LSU rRNA". It matches the Rfam family "Eukaryotic large subunit ribosomal RNA", at positions 89 to 650 of the family's 3401-position model. The record is from RNAcentral. Lineage: Eukaryota; Fungi; Ascomycota; Pichiomycetes; Serinales; Debaryomycetaceae.
GCGAGUGAGCGGCAAAAGCUCAAAUUUGAAAUCUGGCACUUUCAGUGUCCGAGUUGUAAUUUGAAGAAGGUAUCUUUGGGUCUGGCUCUUGUCUAUGUUUCUUGGAACAGAACGUCACAGAGGGUGAGAAUCCCGUGCGAUGAGAUGACCCAGACCUAUGUAAAGUUCCUUCGAAGAGUCGAGUUGUUUGGGAAUGCAGCUCUAAGUGGGUGGUAAAUUCCAUCUAAAGCUAAAUAUUGGCGAGAGACCGAUAGCGAACAAGUACAGUGAUGGAAAGAUGAAAAGAACUUUGAAAAGAGAGUGAAAAAGUACGUGAAAUUGUUGAAAGGGAAGGGCUUGAGAUCAGACUUGGUAUUUUGCAUGUUACUCUCUCGGGGGUGGCCGCUGCAGUUUACCGGGCCAGCAUCAGUUUGGGCGGUAGGAUAAUUGCAGAGAAAUGUGGCACUGCCUCGGUAGUGUGUUAUAGUCUUUGUCGAUACUGCCAGCCUAGACUGAGGACUGCGGCUUCGGCCUAGGAUGUUGGCAUAAUGAUCUUAAGUCGCCC